This 506-nucleotide ribosomal RNA is filed under the name uncultured bacterium. RNAcentral describes it as "partial 16S ribosomal RNA". It matches the Rfam family "Bacterial small subunit ribosomal RNA", at positions 29 to 523 of the family's 1533-position model. The record is from RNAcentral.
AUUGAACGCUGGCGGCAGGCCUAACACAUGCAAGUCGAGCGGCAGCGGGAAGUAGCUUGCUACUUUGCCGGCGAGCGGCGGACGGGGGAGUAAUGUCUGGGAAACUGCCUGAUGGAGGGGGAUAACUACUGGAAACGGUAGCGAAUACCGCAUAACGUCGCAAGACCAAAGAGGGGGACCUUCGGGCCUCUUGCCAUCAGAUGUGCCCAGAUGGGGUUAGCUAGUAGGUGGGGUAAUGGCUCACCUAGGCGACGAUCCCUAGCUGGUCUGAGGGGAUGACCAGCCACACUGGAACUGAGACACGGUCCAGACUCCUACGGGAGGCAGCAGUGGGGAAUAUUGCACAAUGGGCGCAAGCCUGAUGCAGCCAUGCCGCGUGUAUGAAGAAGGCCUUCGGGUUGUAAAGUACUUUCAGCGGGGAGGAAGGUGUUGAGGUUAAUAACCUCAGCAAUUGACGUUACCCGCAGAAGAAGCACCGGCUAACUCCGUGCCAGCCGCCGCGGUAA